This is a long non-coding RNA of Balaenoptera acutorostrata (minke whale), 1878 nucleotides long. RefSeq lists it as uncharacterized. The record is from RefSeq and is a predicted model, not a curated record. The transcript has 3 exons. Lineage: Eukaryota; Metazoa; Chordata; Mammalia; Artiodactyla; Balaenopteridae.
AGAUGAGGUCAGAGGGUGAGAGUAGUAACCACUGAAGUGUAAGGCCGGGGAGGACAGGCCAGAUCAAGGCUGGAACCCAGACCCUGGGCUCUGGGGCAGGCGCUGGGCACAGAAGCGUUGAGAGGCUGCAGACAGUGGAAGCUCUCUGGAGAAGCCCAAGGAAUCCAACCAUCCCAGGCUGGGAAAUGCAAACUCAGGCCCUUGUUCGCGGAGCCUGGACCCGAAACUGCCCAAAACUAUGCAGGGCUCAUGCUGACGGGGUGACGGCUAAAUAUAGGAAACCCAACUAUCUGGAGAAUGCAGCUUCUGCAUUUGGGAGGGUAACGAUCUUAGUCCCCCGACCAGGGAUUGAACCUGCACCCUCGGCAGUGAAAGCACUGAGCUCUAACCACUGGACUGCCAAAGGACCACUGGAAUUCCCAGGAGGGAUGUUUCUUUUUUUGAGGAACUGGACGUUUUCUGCUCCAUGCCUCUGAACCACGGCAAGGAGACCUCUCCCCAUGUUCUCCACUUCUCGCCUCGAGGGUCUGCAUCUCCCCCUCCCCACAUUCAGGGAUGGAGUGUGGUCUGUUGGUAUGCUUUUCCCAGAGACAGAUGUUGUGGGAAGGGCAAAAUCCAGCUGGGGCUUCCCCCCACCUUAGAAAUAGUCAGCCCAGGGGCUUCCCUGCUGGCGCACUGGUUAAGAAUCCGCCUGUCAAUUCAGGGGACACGGGUUCGAGCCCUGGUCCGGGAAGAUCCCACAUGCCACGGAGCAGCUAAGGCCAUGCGCCACAACUACUGAACCUGUGCUCUAGGGCCUGCGAGCCACAACUACUGAGCCCACGUGUUGUAACUACUGAAGCCCGGGUGCCUAGAGCCUGUGCUCCGCAACAAGAGAAGCCACUGCAAUGAGAAGCCCGCGCACCACAACGAAGAGUAGCCCCCGCUCGCCGCAACUAGAGAAAGCCCGCACGCAGCAACGAAGACCCAACGCAGCCAAAAAUAAAUAAAUAAAUAAAAUUAUUCUUUAAAAAAAGAAACAGUCGGCCCGGAGGGCCCAGGAAAGCAACUGAAUUCUGGGGGAAGGUUGGGUACCUUUGUGCAGUCUGUGUUAGUUUCCUGGGGCUGCUGCAACAAACCACACGGAUUUGGUGGCUUAAGGCAGCAGAAAUUUAUUCUCUGCAGUUCUGGAGGCCGGAAGUCUGAAAUUAGCAUCACUGGGCUGUAAUCCAGGUGCGGCAGGGAUGCGCUCCCUCACCUCCCCAGGAGGCUCCAGGGGAGGGUCCUUCCCACCUCCUGCAGCUCUUGGGGCCGCGGUGUCCUGAGCUUGUGGUCGCGGCCUUCCAGUCUCUGCCUCUGUCUUUCUGUGGCCUCUCCUCUGUGUCUGUGCAGAAUCUCCUCCUGCCUCUUUCUUUUUCUUUUUUUUUUUAACUUUUUAAAUUUUUUGGCCGCACCGCGUGGCAUGCAGGAUCUUAGUUCCUGGACCAGGGAUUAAACUCGCGCCCCCUGCAGUGGAAGCUCAGAGUCCUAACCACUGGACUGCUAGGGAAGUCCCUCUGUCUCCUCCUUAUGACUGCAUCAAGGGCCCACCAGGAUAAUCUCCCCAUCUCAAAAGCCUUCAUUAAAUCACACCUGCAAAAUCUUCGCCUGCUCAGGUAACAGAGUCACAGGUUCCUGGGACUUAGGACCUGAUAUCUUUGGGGUGGGGUCAUUCUUCAGCCAAUCGCGAAGUCUCUCUCCAGGGCUGACGUGCAUGCUGACAGGAAUGCCCCCAUGCCCAGCACCAGGCGGCCUGCCCCGGAGAGAAGGCAGCUGAAGCAACGGGCGAGGCGGUGCUGUCUUCCUGGAGGAUGACCCCACACGGAGCUGAUAAGGCUCCCAUUUGGGCCGACAGGAGAG